Molecule: transfer RNA, 63 nt
Filed under: Cryptocephalus cynarae
Lineage: Eukaryota; Metazoa; Arthropoda; Insecta; Coleoptera; Chrysomelidae
Description: tRNA-Glu
Rfam family: tRNA
About the family: Transfer RNA (tRNA) molecules are approximately 80 nucleotides in length. Their secondary structure includes four short double-helical elements and three loops (D, anti-codon, and T loops). Further hydrogen bonds mediate the characteristic L-shaped molecular structure. tRNAs have two regions of fundamental functional importance: the anti-codon, which is responsible for specific mRNA codon recognition, and the 3' end, to which the tRNAs corresponding amino acid is attached (by aminoacyl-tRNA synthetases). tRNAs cope with the degeneracy of the genetic code in two manners: having more than one tRNA (with a specific anti-codon) for a particular amino acid; and 'wobble' base-pairing, i.e. permitting non-standard base-pairing at the 3rd anti-codon position.
Source: RNAcentral
GUUUAUAUAGUUUAAGUAAAACAUUACAUUUUCAAUGUAAAGUCGAGACCAUCUCUUUAAAUA